AAAAAAAUAAGCUAAAAAAGCUUUUGGGUUCAUACCCCAACUAUAAAGGUUUAAUCCUUUUUUUUUUA
RNAcentral lists this transfer RNA (68 nucleotides) under Staphylinoidea sp. 13 KM-2017. RNAcentral's name for it is "tRNA-Met". It matches the Rfam family "tRNA". From Rfam's summary of the family: Transfer RNA (tRNA) molecules are approximately 80 nucleotides in length. Their secondary structure includes four short double-helical elements and three loops (D, anti-codon, and T loops). The record is from RNAcentral. Lineage: Eukaryota; Metazoa; Arthropoda; Insecta; Coleoptera.